CCUACGGGAGGCAGCAGUGAGGAAUAUUGGUCAAUGGACGAGAGUCUGAACCAGCCAAGUAGCGUGAAGGAUGACUGCCCUAUGGGUUGUAAACUUCUUUUAUAUGGGAAUAAAAUGUUCCACGUGUGGGAUUUUGUAUGUACCAUAUGAAUAAGGAUCGGCUAACUCCGGGCCAGCAGCCGCGGUAAUACGGAGGGUCCGAGCGUUAUCCGGAUUUAUUGGGUUUAAAGGGAGCGUAGGUGGAUUGUUAAGUCAGUUGUGAAAGUUUGCGGCUCAACCGUAAAAUUGCAGUUGAAACUGGCAGUCUUGAGUACAGUAGAGGUGGGCGGAAUUCGUGGUGUAGCGGUGAAAUGCUUAGAUAUCACGAAGAACUCCGAUUGCGAAGGCAGUUCACUGGACUGCAACUGACACUGAGGCUCGAAAGUGUGGGUAUCAAACAGGAUUAGAUACCCGAGUAGUC
Molecule: ribosomal RNA, 460 nt
Filed under: uncultured bacterium
Lineage: Bacteria
Description: partial 16S ribosomal RNA
Rfam family: Bacterial small subunit ribosomal RNA
Source: RNAcentral